AUACAUGCAAGUCGAGCGGGUUUACCCUUCGGGGUAAGCUAGCGGCGGACGGGUGAGUAACACGUAGGUAACCUGCCUAUAAGAUCGGGAUAACUAUCGGAAACGAUAGCUAAAACCGGAUAAUUGGUUUUCUCGCAUGAGAGAAUUAUGAAACACGGAGCAAUCUGUGGCUUAUAGAUGGGCCUGCGGCGCAUUAGCUAGUUGGUAGGGUAACGGCCUACCAAGGCGACGAUGCGUAGCCGACCUGAGAGGGUGAACGGCCACACUGGGACUGAAACACGGCCCAGACUCCUACGGGAGGCAGCAGUAGGGAAUCUUCCGCAAUGGACGCAAGUCUGACGGAGCAACGCCGCGUGAGUGAUGAAGGUUUUCGGAUCGUAAAGCUCUGUUGCCCUAGACGAACAGCAAGGAGAGUAACUGCUCUUUGUGUGACGGUAUAGGAGAAGAAAGCCCCGGCUAACUACGUGCCAGCAGCCGCGGUAAUACGUAGGGGGCAAGCGUUGUCCGGAAUUAUUGGGCGUAAAGCGCGCGCAGGCGGUCAAUUAAGUUGGGUGUUUAAGCCCGGGGCUCAACCCCGGUUCGCAUCCAAAACUGGUUGACUUGAGUGUAAGAGAGGAAAGUGGAAUUCCACGUGUAGCGGUGAAAUGCGUAGAGAUGUGGAGGAACACCAGUGGCGAAGGCGACUUUCUGGCCUAUAACUGACGCUGAGGCGCGAAAGCGUGGGGAGCAAACAGGAUUAGAUACCCUGGUAGUCCACGCCGUAA
This 764-nucleotide ribosomal RNA is filed under the name Paenibacillus sp. AS8(13). RNAcentral describes it as "bacterial SSU rRNA". It matches the Rfam family "Bacterial small subunit ribosomal RNA", at positions 51 to 805 of the family's 1533-position model. The record is from RNAcentral. Lineage: Bacteria; Bacillati; Bacillota; Bacilli; Caryophanales; Paenibacillaceae.